GGUCCCAUCGUCUAGUGGCCCAGGACACCGCCCUCUCACGGCGAAAACAGGGGUUCGAGUCCCCUUGGGACUACCA
This 76-nucleotide transfer RNA is filed under the name Deltaproteobacteria bacterium. RNAcentral's name for it is "tRNA-Glu". It matches the Rfam family "tRNA". Rfam says of the family: Transfer RNA (tRNA) molecules are approximately 80 nucleotides in length. Their secondary structure includes four short double-helical elements and three loops (D, anti-codon, and T loops). Lineage: Bacteria; Pseudomonadati; Myxococcota; Myxococcia. The record is from RNAcentral.